UACGUAGGUGGCAAGCGUUGUCCGGAAUUAUUGGGCGUAAAGAGCGUGUAGGCGGCCAGGUAGGUCUGCUGUGAAAACUCGAGGCUCAACCUCGAGACGUCGGCGGAAACCAUCUGGCUAGAGUCCGGAAGAGGAGAGUGGAAUUCCUGGUGUAGCGGUGAAAUGCGCAGAUAUCAGGAAGAACACCCGUGGCGAAGGCGGCUCUCUGGGACGGUACUGACGCUGAGACGCGAAAGCGUGGGGAGCGAACAGG
Molecule: ribosomal RNA, 253 nt
Filed under: uncultured bacterium
Lineage: Bacteria
Description: partial 16S ribosomal RNA
Rfam family: Bacterial small subunit ribosomal RNA
Source: RNAcentral